RNAcentral lists this ribosomal RNA (301 nucleotides) under uncultured bacterium. RNAcentral describes it as "partial 16S ribosomal RNA". It matches the Rfam family "Bacterial small subunit ribosomal RNA", at positions 509 to 807 of the family's 1533-position model. The record is from RNAcentral.
CAGCAGCCACGGGAAUACGGAGGGUGCAAGCGUUAAUCGGAAUUACUGGGCGUAAAGCGCACGCAGGCGGUCUGACAAGUCAGAUGUGAAAUCCCCGGGCUUAACCUGGGAACUGCAUUUGAAACUGUCAGGCUGGAGUCUUGUAGAGGGGGGUGGAAUUCCAGGUGUAGCGGUGAAAUGCGUAGAGAUCUGGAGGAAUACCGGUGGCGAAGGCGGCCCCCUGGACAAAGACUGACGCUCAGGUGCGAAAGCGUGGGGAGCAAACAGGAUUAGAUACCCGAGUAGUCCCUGUCUCUUAUAC